Molecule: ribosomal RNA, 253 nt
Filed under: uncultured bacterium
Lineage: Bacteria
Description: partial 16S ribosomal RNA
Rfam family: Bacterial small subunit ribosomal RNA
Source: RNAcentral
UACGGAGGGGGCUAGCGUUAUUCGGAAUUACUGGGCGUAAAGCGUGCGCAGGCGGUUAUAUAAGACAGAUGUGAAAUCCCCGGGCUCAACCUGGGACCUGCAUUUGUGACUGUAUAGCUAGAGUACGGUAGAGGGGGAUGGAAUUCCGCGUGUAGCAGUGAAAUGCGUAGAUAUGCGGAGGAACACCGAUGGCGAAGGCAAUCCCCUGGACCUGUACUGACGCUCAUGCACGAAAGCGUGGGGAGCAAACAGG